RNAcentral lists this ribosomal RNA (265 nucleotides) under uncultured bacterium. RNAcentral describes it as "partial 16S ribosomal RNA". It matches the Rfam family "Bacterial small subunit ribosomal RNA", at positions 28 to 293 of the family's 1533-position model. The record is from RNAcentral.
GACGAACGCUGGCGGCGUGCUUAACACAUGCAAGUCGAGCGGUAAGGCCCUUUCGGGGGUACGACGAGCGGCGAACGGGUGAGUAACACGUGGGUGACCUGCCUUUAGCUCUGGGAUAAGCCUGGGAAACUGGGUCUAAUACCGGAUAUGACUCCAUGAUGCAUGUUGUGGGGUGGAAAGCCUUGUGCGGCUGGAGAUGGGCCCGCGGCCUAUCAGCUUGUUGGUGGGGUGAUGGCCUACCAAGGCGACGACGGGUAGCCGGCCU